Molecule: long non-coding RNA, 542 nt
Filed under: Sorghum bicolor (sorghum)
Lineage: Eukaryota; Viridiplantae; Streptophyta; Magnoliopsida; Poales; Poaceae
Description: long non-coding RNA (SBIC_LNC002215)
Source: RNAcentral
AAUGGCAAUAUGGCUAUGAUCUCCGAGCGUAUCGGGUGGGAUAUUUUCCUUGCCUAAUAUAAUUGGCGUGAUUUGGUCCAUCUCAGAGUAAUUAAUACAUGCAUAAUUUUUUGUGAGUUGUACAAUAGUUUGUUUCACUUUAGUAGAGAGAGAAAUAAAAAUAAAAACUAUGGAAGAGAUUAAUUACCCAUGGCUGAUGUUGCAGGUAAUGUUUCAGUCGAAGUACAUGAAUUGCUACUAUUUUUGGAUGUAGCCUUCUUCCGUUGUCAGUAGUUACAUAUGUAUUCACGCUUUUUCCUAUUGAUCUCUUCUCUUUGUUCGCUGGACCUCUCAGCUCGAUGAAUUCGCAACCGCUCUCUUCUUUCUUCCCUCCUCCGCGAAGCGUCAUCUAAAGUGGCAUUUGAGUAGUAUAACAGAAUAUUAGAAAGACACCCAAAGGUGUUGUACACAUACAUAUUGAAAGUAUAUCUAACACAUCGCGUGUAUCUUCGAGCAUAGACAUUGCGAAAUAUCAGCGAGGAUUUCUAUCUGGCAGUAGCGGU